RNAcentral lists this ribosomal RNA (401 nucleotides) under uncultured bacterium. RNAcentral describes it as "bacterial SSU rRNA". It matches the Rfam family "Bacterial small subunit ribosomal RNA", at positions 362 to 757 of the family's 1533-position model. The record is from RNAcentral.
UUUUGGACAAUGGGCGAAAGCCUGAUCCAGCAAUGCCGCGUGUGGGAAGAAGGCCUUCGGGUUGUAAACCACUUUUGUACGGAACGAAACGGUCUGCUUUAAUACAGUGGGCUAAUGACGGUACCGUAAGAAUAAGCACCGGCUAACUACGUGCCAGCAGCCGCGGUAAUACGUAGGGUGCGAGCGUUAAUCGGAAUUACUGGGCGUAAAGCGUGCGCAGGCGGUUAUAUAAGUCAGAUGUGAAAUCCCCGGGCUCAACCUGGGAAUUGCAUUUGAGACUGCACGGCUAGGGUGUGUCAGAGGGGGGUAGAAUUCCACGUGUAGCAGUGAAAUGCGUAGAUAUGUGGAGGAAUACCGAUGGCGAAGGCAGCCCCCUGGGAUAACACUACGCUCAUCACGAA